This is a long non-coding RNA of Rhodamnia argentea, 1808 nucleotides long. RefSeq lists it as uncharacterized. The transcript has 2 exons. The record is from RefSeq and is a predicted model, not a curated record. Lineage: Eukaryota; Viridiplantae; Streptophyta; Magnoliopsida; Myrtales; Myrtaceae.
UAUCGCAAUGGGCUAUGGAGAUAUUUUGCACCUGGGCUAAAAGGGAUUGCACUUCGACAAUAUGGGCUUCGGCUUCCCAACUAAUGUCCCAUGUUCUGUUGACCGCCUCUACCAAAGUACUACAUUCAGAUUCUACGCAUAUCUUUUCUGUCGUCUCUCUCCACGAGUCCAGAAACUUCAAACCAUGUGCUAGAGCUUGUGCUUCGGCUUCAAUCAACGGACAAGAUCUGAUUUCUAUGGCAAAUCCAUCUAUCAAAGCUCCUUCUAAGUCGCGACGAACACCAGCGAUGGCUCCUUCCCCUGCAUCAACAUCAACAGAGGCAUCUAUGUUAAGCUCCAGAUUUGGGUAUUUCGACCGGAGGGGGGGUGGUGGUUGGGUCCAAACCUUCUACGGUGGAUAUGCUCUUUCUUCUCUAAAUAUGCUCCAUAGGAUGGCUGCUAGCAGUUCAAAGGUAAGGAAAAGAGUUUGGCUUUCUAUAAAACUUUGUAGCCAUUGAUCCAUCCGCGAGUCUUGAGAAGUUUGGCUUUGUCCCAAUGCCCGGGGGUCUUGCCAGAUUUGGUUUGUCCAAGGACAGUGGCGGAAGAUGUGCUAUGUAGUUUCUGAUUGUUGGUUGCACAGGGAACACAAGGGUUGGGUAAUAACGUCCCGUUUGCAAAGAUUGACCUUUGUUGGUAGGGCAUCUUGGCAUACGCUCCAGAGGAAGAAGCGGAUCUUCGGGGGGAUACAAGCUUUCCACAUCCUGUUCCAGAGUUUGCGAGAGGGUUGGAAGGAGAAAUAGGCUAUAUUAGUACUUGGCGGUGGUUUUCCAUCUCUGAUCAAGUUGUAUCCACUCUGAACAGUAUAGACACCCGAUUGUCUUCUUGUCCAAAUUAGCUUAUCCUUUCAGAGAAACCUAUUUAUUAGGGUGGCCAAGAUUUCUUCGGCAAACUCCUCAUCAAAGAUCUGUCUAAGAGCUGAUUCAUCCCACUUUGCGUCCUGGGAAGAGAUUAAUUCUACGACUUUAGAUGGUUCAUCCACGUUCGCAGGACCUCCAAUAACUCAUCUUCUAAGCCAACGGUCCUCUCUUAUGCUAAUAUCCUCUCCAUUUCCAAUCGUCCUUCUCACUGACCCUGAGAGAGUUUCUCUACCAUAAAGUAUCCUCUGCCAACCCCAAGAAGGCCUAAGUCCUCUUUGCGCCUAUAAGAAUGUUUUGUUCUGGGGGUAAAUACCUUUUAAUAAUCUAUUCCACAGAGAGUUCUGAUUUUGGGCAAGUCUCCAGGCUUGCUUGCCUAGCAUAGUUUUAUUGAAGUCGAUGAGGUCUUUGAAACCCAGCCCCACAUUAUCCUUCCUUUCCUUUAAGACUUCCCAUCUUCUCCAAUGAAGUCCAGAAUUAGUUUCACUGUUUUGCCACCAGAACGAAGCUAUUUUCCUCUCGAUAGACUUACGAAUUGACGUUGGAAUUUUGGCGAUCGACAUCGCAUACUGAGGAAUUGCUUGCACUAUGGUUUUAACAAGGAUCUCCUUUCCCGCCUUUGAAAUGAUAUUCUCUUUCCGACCUUCAAGCUUCAUAUUCACUUUUGCCGUAAUCUAUGAGAACAUUUGUUUUUUUUGUAGCACCCCAUUCGGAAGGAAUUCCCAGAUAUUUUCCGGUGUUCCCCAAAACUGGAACUCUCAGUGUCGAAGCCAGAUUCACUUAUAGCUGAUUACGGCAAUUUGGCCCCAUAUAGAGCCCUGACUUGUUGAAGUUAAUUUCUUGACCAAUAGCGUAACAAUACUGAUAAAGGAUAAGAGCCAGAUUCUGACCUUCAACCAGCUUACCAUCUAGAAA